Molecule: unclassified non-coding RNA, 136 nt
Filed under: uncultured Sordariales
Lineage: Eukaryota; Fungi; Ascomycota; Sordariomycetes; Sordariales
Description: sequence contains ITS1
Source: RNAcentral
CAGAGUUGCAAAACUCCCAACCAUUGUGAACGAACCCGCUACGGUUGCUUCGGCGGGUGGUUCUCUGUAACCGCCCGCCGGCAGCAUACAAACUCUUGAUUAUAGUGGACCUCUGAGUAACUUAUAUAAUAAGUCA